This 182-nucleotide ribosomal RNA is filed under the name uncultured bacterium. RNAcentral's name for it is "partial 16S ribosomal RNA". It matches the Rfam family "Bacterial small subunit ribosomal RNA", at positions 1319 to 1500 of the family's 1533-position model. The record is from RNAcentral.
CAUGAAGCUGGAAUCGCUAGUAAUCGCGGAUCAGAAUGCCGCGGUGAAUACGUUCCCGGGUCUUGUACACACCGCCCGUCACACCAUGGGAGUCGGAAAUGCCCGAAGUCAGUGACCUAACCGAAAGGAAGGAGCUGCCGAAGGUGGAGCCGGUAACUGGGGUGAAGUCGUAACAAGGUAGC